GAAAAAGUAUGCAAGAACUGCUAAUUCAUGCCACCGCACCUAAAACUGCGGCUUUUUUA
Molecule: transfer RNA, 59 nt
Filed under: Eudiscopus denticulus (Disk-footed bat)
Lineage: Eukaryota; Metazoa; Chordata; Mammalia; Chiroptera; Vespertilionidae
Description: tRNA-Ser
Source: RNAcentral